RNAcentral lists this long non-coding RNA (547 nucleotides) under Homo sapiens (human). Its description in RNAcentral is "non-protein coding XIST:63". The record is from RNAcentral. Lineage: Eukaryota; Metazoa; Chordata; Mammalia; Primates; Hominidae.
AGUUUGCCCUACUAGCUCCUCGGACAGCUGUAAAGAAGAGUCUCUGGCUCUUUAGAAUACUGAUCCCAUUGAAGAUACCACGCUGCAUGUGUCCUUAGUAGUCAUGUCUCCUUAGGCUCCUCUUGGACAUUCUGAGCAUGUGAGACCUGAGGACUGCAAACAGCUAUAAGAGGCUCCAAAUUAAUCAUAUCUUUCCCUUUGAGAAUCUGGCCAAGCUCCAGCUAAUCUACUUGGAUGGGUUGCCAGCUAUCUGGAGAAAAAGGUGGAGAUGGGGCAUGAGGAUCCUCCAGGGGAAAAGCUCACUACCACUGGGCAACAACCCUAGGUCAGGAGGUUCUGUCAAGAUACUUUCCUGGUCCCAGAUAGGAAGAUAAAGUCUCAAAAACAACCACCACACGUCAAGCUCUUCAUUGUUCCUAUCUGCCAAAUCAUUAUACUUCCUACAAGCAGUGCAGAGAGCUGAGUCUUCAGCAGGUCCAAGAAAUUUGAACACACUGAAGGAAGUCAGCCUUCCCACCUGAAGAUCAACAUGCCUGGCACUCUAGCA